Molecule: ribosomal RNA, 497 nt
Filed under: uncultured bacterium
Lineage: Bacteria
Description: partial 16S ribosomal RNA
Rfam family: Bacterial small subunit ribosomal RNA
Source: RNAcentral
GAUGAACGCUGGCGGCGUGCCUAAUACAUGCAAGUCGAGCGAACAGACGAGGAGCUUGCUCCUAUGACGUUAGCGGCGGACGGGUGAGUAACACGUGGAUAACCUACCUAUAAGACUGGGAUAACUUCGGGAAACCGGAGCUAAUACCGGAUAAUAUAUUUAACCGCAUGGUUCAAUAGUGAAAGACGGUUUUGCUGUCACUUAUAGAUGGAUCCGCGCCGCAUUAGCUAGUUGGUAAGGUAACGGCUUACCAAGGCAACGAUGCGUAGCCGACCUGAGAGGGUGAUCGGCCACACUGGAACUGAGACACGGUCCAGACUCCUACGGGAGGCAGCAGUAGGGAAUCUUCCGCAAUGGGCGAAAGCCUGACGGAGCAACGCCGCGUGAGUGAUGAAGGUCUUCGGAUCGUAAAACUCUGUUAUUAGGGAAGAACAAAUGUGUAAGUAACUAUGCACGUCUUGACGGUACCUAAUCAGAAAGCCACGGCUAACUUCGGG